Molecule: unclassified non-coding RNA, 433 nt
Filed under: fungal sp.
Lineage: Eukaryota; Fungi
Description: partial internal transcribed spacer region
Rfam family: Eukaryotic small subunit ribosomal RNA (bases 1-46)
Source: RNAcentral
AAGUCGUAACAAGGUUUCCGUAGGUGAACCUGCGGAAGGAUCAUUAACACGUAUCCAACGUUAAACCCCCCGUGCACACAGAGACCAGCUCCCCUCAAUUUCGGUCUUUUGGCAAUCUCUGGUAAAUCAUCGCCGAACAGUUUUGAUUCAGAGACAUCCAAAGGGCCGGGGUAGGGUAUUGAAGUAGUUGUCCCAUGCAAGCAGCCUGGUUUCUUGGAAGCAGAAAGUGUGAUAGAAGAUGUCGGAGAACGGACCGAGUGGUAGUCUGUGAAAAAGAAGACGCUUUACGAAUCACUGACCAACACGGCCAGUGACCGGGUUCCUGGGUCCUAGACCCCCUGAUCACCCCGACAGUCGCAGACGCGGGUAGGGAUACGUCCUUACCAAAAAAUAAAUACUUGAACAACUGUUAACAAUGGAUAUCUUGGUUCUC